RNAcentral lists this ribosomal RNA (464 nucleotides) under uncultured Pelotomaculum sp. RNAcentral's name for it is "bacterial SSU rRNA". It matches the Rfam family "Bacterial small subunit ribosomal RNA", at positions 920 to 1382 of the family's 1533-position model. Lineage: Bacteria; Bacillati; Bacillota; Clostridia; Eubacteriales; Desulfotomaculaceae. The record is from RNAcentral.
CCCGCACAAGCGGUGGAGCAUGUGGUUUAAUUCGACGCAACGCGAAGAACCUUACCAGGGCUUGACAUCCCCUGACCGCGUAUGAAAGUACGUUUUCACCCUCGGGUGACAGGGAGACAGGUGGUGCAUGGUUGUCGUCAGCUCGUGUCGUGAGAUGUUGGGUUAAGUCCCGCAACGAGCGCAACCCCUACGUUUAGUUGCUAACAGGUGAAGCUGAGCACUCUAGACGAACUGCCGUUGACAAAACGGAGGAAGGUGGGAUGACGUCAAAUCAUCAUGCCCCUUAUGUUCUGGGCUACACACGUGCUACAAUGGCCGGUACAGACGGAGGCGAAGCCGCGAGGCGGAGCAAAUCCGAAAAAGCCGGUCUCAGUUCGGAUUGCAGGCUGCAAUUCGCCUGCAUGAAGUCGGAAUCGCUAGUAAUCGCAGGUCAGCAUACUGCGGUGAAUACGUUCCCGGGCCUU